This 253-nucleotide ribosomal RNA is filed under the name uncultured bacterium. RNAcentral's name for it is "partial 16S ribosomal RNA". It matches the Rfam family "Bacterial small subunit ribosomal RNA", at positions 524 to 776 of the family's 1533-position model. The record is from RNAcentral.
UACGUAGGGUGCGAGCGUUAAUCGGAAUUACUGGGCGUAAAGGGUGCGCAGGCGGUUAUAUAAGACAGAUGUGAAAUCCCCGGGCUCAACCUGGGAACUGCGUUUGUGACUGUAUGACUAGAGUACGGUAGAGAGGGGUGGAAUUCCUGGUGUAGCAGUGAAAUGCAUAGAUAUCAGGAGGAACAUCGAUGGCGAAGGCAGCCCCUUGGACCUGUACUGACGCUCAUGCACGAAAGCGUGGGGAGCAAACAGG